RNAcentral lists this ribosomal RNA (579 nucleotides) under Triticum aestivum (bread wheat). RNAcentral's name for it is "partial small subunit ribosomal RNA". Lineage: Eukaryota; Viridiplantae; Streptophyta; Magnoliopsida; Poales; Poaceae. The record is from RNAcentral.
CUAGAGAGCACGGAUGGAGCCGACGUGACCUUUCAUGCCGGUGGUCAGAAGUUCAUGGCUCAUAGUCCUGUGCUCGCUGCUAGGUCAUCCGUGUUCAAGACGGAGCUCCUCGGCGCCAUGAAGGAGAAACUCGGCAGUCCGAUUGAAAUCCAUGAGAUGGAAGCUGUUGUGUUCAAGUCCUUGCUCUAUUUCAUAUACACCGACUCGCUGCCUCCUCUUGAGAUCGAUAGCAACCCAAUUAAAGCACGUUUAGAUGUGACAACGGCUAGCCAUCUCCUCGUGGCAGCGGAUAGGUACAACGUCGAGAGGCUAAAACUGAUAUGUGAGCACAAGUUAUGCAACCACAUUGAUAGGAAUAUGGUGGCAACCAGUUUGGCAUUAGCUGAGCAGCAUAGUUGUACUGGACUCAAGGAAGCUUGUCUACAGUUCCUCGCUUCUCCCACCAAUUUGGAGGCGAUGAUUGCAAGUGAUGGCUACGAGCAUCUGAAAACCAGUUGUCCAUCUGUCCUCAAAGAGCUGGUUGCUAGGCUACUGCCGGAUAUAAUGAAAGCGGCCAAGGAUAUUAUCAUGACCAUUUAG